Non-coding RNA from Phoenix dactylifera (date palm), 2491 nucleotides. NCBI's taxonomy places the organism in Eukaryota, Viridiplantae, Streptophyta, Magnoliopsida, Arecales, Arecaceae. The record is from RefSeq and is a predicted model, not a curated record.
AAUGUCUUUCUUAAUCAAGUGGAUGAGAGGGUGUCUACAUCCCAUGGUGGAAGAGAUGAGAAUCGUUUUCUGCAUGGCUAUAAAGAAUUCAUCCAUGGAGUACAAGUUACCCAACCAUCUAAGUCAGAAUUAGAGACUUAUUUGGAAGAGAAGAUUCAUCCAUUAGAAGAUCAAAAUUUUGACAUUCUACAGUAUUGGAAAUUCAAUGAAUCAAAAUAUCCAAUAUUGUCUAGGAUGGUACGUGAUAUCUUGGCAAUUCCCAUUUCUACUGUUGCAUCUGAGUCUGCCUUUAGCACUGCUGGCAGGGUUUUGGAUGAUUUUCGUAGUAGUCUAUCUCCAAAUACGGUUGAGAUAUUGGUGUGCACACAGGAUUGGCUUCGAGACAGCUUGCCUCAUCUUGCAGAUGAUCCACCUUCUCAUACAAAAUACAAGAUUGAAGAUUACGAAACUGUUGUUGAUAUUAAUAUCGAUGAUUAACUUAUGCUGGUAAGUAGUAGAGUUCAUCUUCAUUAUUAUGCUUACAUUUGAAUUCUCCGAUUUGCAUCAUUUCAUGUGACAUGACCACCUACUUGCAUCAUUGAUUCAUUAUAUAUGUUGCUAUCAGAUGUAGGUGCAAGCAAAGAGAAAUUUAUGAUUCCAUGUGUUCAAGUUAGAAGGAUGUAUACAUUGCAUGACAAACCUGUUUACAUAACCAGCAAAGACAGCAUAACUUCAAAGCUCCUGCACAAACAUAAAAGUGUACUCAUUGAUGCUUAAACUUUAUAAUUUUAUAGUAUAAUGAUCGUAAACUGAUGUUGCUUCUUUGCUUUAUGCAGGAUGGUGGUAAUCUAUCUUAACUAAUGGGACAAGUCAUCUUCACUGAAUUUUGAUGUUGAUGUUGAUGUUGAUGUUAAUUGCAUGAUGUUGAUGUUGUGAUGCAUCCUUUUGGAUUGUCAUAUGGGGUAGAAUUUUGCUGUGAUGUAGUAAAUUGUAAUGUUGUGAUCCUAAAACUGUGACCCAGGUUGUAAUGCUGUUGUUUGGAUUGUCCUUUGUCAUAUGGGGUUGAAUUUUAUUGUUGAUAUUAAUAUCGAUGAUUAACUUAUGCUGGUAAGUAGUAGAGUUCAUCUUCAUUAUUAUGCUUACAUUUGAAUUCUCCGAUUUGCAUCAUUUCAUGUGACAUGACCACCUACUUGCAUCAUUGAUUCAUUAUAUAUGUUGCUAUCAGAUGUAGGUGCAAGCAAAGAGAAAUUUAUGAUUCCAUGUGUUCAAGUUAGAAGGAUGUAUACAUUGCAUGACAAACCUGUUUACAUAACCAGCAAAGACAGCAUAACUUCAAAGCUCCUGCACAAACAUAAAAGUGUACUCAUUGAUGCUUAAACUUUAUAAUUUUAUAGUAUAAUGAUCGUAAACUGAUGUUGCUUCUUUGCUUUAUGCAGGAUGGUGGUAAUCUAUCUUAACUAAUGGGACAAGUCAUCUUCACUGAAUUUUGAUGUUGAUGUUGAUGUUGAUGUUGAUGUUAAUUGCAUGAUGUUGAUGUUGUGAUGCAUCCUUUUGGAUUGUCAUAUGGGGUAGAAUUUUGCUGUGAUGUAGUAAAUUGUAAUGUUGUGAUCCUAAAACUGUGACUCAGGUUGUAAUGCUGUUGUUUGGAUUGUCCUUUGUCAUAUGGGGUUGAAUUUUACUUUGAAAAAUCCUGUGAUGCUAAUACUGUAACCAGCUUUGAUUAUAAACUUACAUCUUAGUGCAUAGGUGGUGGAAUUGAAGUGUCUAUUGGCCUUUGUCCUGUAUGUCUCAUGUUUACUAGUGGAUAUCAAUAAUUGGAAUGGUUUGAGAAAGAAGUUGUUAUAAUUCUUUAGGUGUUUGAUUCCUCCUGACAAGUGUGUUUUUUGUUUCUUCUUUUCUUCAUGCAGACGAAGUGAACCAAGAAGGCUGGAAUUGUUGGCAAAUAUGGUCUGACAUAUAUACCAGAGCAGUCCUUGAAGAUAUAUGCAACUUCCAGCAUUGCAACAGGGAUUUUGUAGUGCAUGUAACCCUGCUUUAUGCCCCUUCUUGUUUGUCUCAACUUUCUUCGUGGAUCAAAACGCUGCCUGCGAGGUUAUGUAUGAUAUUGGAAAGAUGGAGGUCCAUACCAUGAGAUUGUCGGCACCCAAUGGCGCCAUCUCUGCCUAUUUCAGGACCAAUGUGGAUUGAAGAAUGUUCGGCUUGAUUCCACAUUCGUAGCUGAUGACGUGGCUUAUAAUUCCAGUGCUGACGACAUGGUUCUAAUGUCCAAAGCUGUACUUCAUCCACUUUACAGUGUCCUAUUCAGCUCUCCCAUAUUUGAGCAUGUGACAUUUGUAUACUGUUCCUAUCAGGUGAUUGUGAUUGUUCUUCCUUGAAUCUCAGAAGAAAUCCAAGUUUACUGCUUACGUGGAUGCCAUUUAUUUUUUUCAUGUCCAGCGUGCUCCCAGAUUUUGCAUGUAUUGGUGGAAACUUCUUUUACCAUGACAUAUAUUUGAAUUCCUGUGGUUGUGUG